Molecule: ribosomal RNA, 514 nt
Filed under: uncultured bacterium
Lineage: Bacteria
Description: bacterial SSU rRNA
Rfam family: Bacterial small subunit ribosomal RNA
Source: RNAcentral
AACGAACGUUAGCGGCGCGCCUAACACAUGCAAGUCGAGCGAGAAAGGGCUUCGGCCCCGGUAAAGCGGCGCACGGGUGAGUAACACGUAGGUAAUCUGCCCCUGGGUGGUGGAUAACGUUCCGAAAGGAGCGCUAAUACAGCAUGAGACCACGGUUCCGAAAGGGACAGGGGUCAAAGCCGGCCUCUUCACGAAAGCUGGCGCCUGGGGAUGAGCCUGCGGCCCAUCAGCUAGUUGGUAGGGUAACGGCCUACCAAGGCGAAGACGGGUAGCUGGUCUGAGAGGAUGAUCAGCCACACUGGAACUGAGACACGGUCCAGACUCCUACGGGAGGCAGCAGUGGGGAAUCUUGCGCAAUGGGCGAAAGCCUGACGCAGCGACGCCGCGUGAGUGAUGAAGGCCUUCGGGUUGUAAAGCGUCUGUGGAGGGGGGACGGAAGUAAAGGGGUUAGGCGUUAACAAUCCAGCUCGAUGACGGUACCCUUUUAGUCAAGCACCGGCUAACUCUGUGCCAG